UACGUAGGGGGCAAGCGUUGUCCGGAUUGACUGGGCGUAAAGGGAGCGUAGGCGGUUUGGUAAGUCAAAUGUGAAAGCCCGUGGCUUAACUGCGGAAUUGCAUUUGAUACUGCUAAGCUUGAGUUCAGGAGAGGUAAGUAGAAUUCCUAGUGUAGCGGUGGAAUGCGUAGAUAUUAGGAGGAAUACCAGUGGCGAAGGCGGCUUGCUGGAAUGACACUGACGCUGAGGCUCGAAAGCGUGGGGAG
This 245-nucleotide ribosomal RNA is filed under the name uncultured Lachnospiraceae bacterium. RNAcentral describes it as "partial 16S ribosomal RNA". It matches the Rfam family "Bacterial small subunit ribosomal RNA", at positions 524 to 768 of the family's 1533-position model. Lineage: Bacteria; Bacillati; Bacillota; Clostridia; Lachnospirales; Lachnospiraceae. The record is from RNAcentral.